AGCAGCCGCGGUAAUUCCAGCUCCAAUAGCGUAUAUUAAAGUUGUUGCAGUUAAAAAGCUCGUAGUCGAAUUUCGGGAUUGGCGCAUCGGUCGUGCCUCACGGGGUAUGAACUGGUGCAGUCAAUUUCUCACCUUCUGGAGAACCGCGAUGUCCUUAAUUGGAUGCCGCGGGGAACCAGGACCUUUACUUUGAAAAAUUAGAGUGUUUAAAGCAGGCAUUUUUGCUUGAAUACAUUAGCAUGGAAUAAUAAAAUAGGACGGCAUGGUUCUAUUUUGUUGGUUUCUAGGACCACCGUAAUGAUUAAUAGGGAUAGUUGGGGGCAUUAGUAUUCAAUUGUCAGAGGUGAAAUUCUUGGAUUUAUUGAAGACUAACUACUGCGAAAGCAUUUGCCAAGGAUGUUUUCAUUAAUCAAGAACGAAAGUUAGGGGAUCGAAGACGAUCAGAUACCG
Molecule: ribosomal RNA, 450 nt
Filed under: uncultured Entrophospora
Lineage: Eukaryota; Fungi; Glomeromycota; Glomeromycetes; Entrophosporales; Entrophosporaceae
Description: SSU rRNA
Rfam family: Eukaryotic small subunit ribosomal RNA
Source: RNAcentral